This 465-nucleotide ribosomal RNA is filed under the name uncultured Klebsiella sp. RNAcentral describes it as "bacterial SSU rRNA". It matches the Rfam family "Bacterial small subunit ribosomal RNA", at positions 338 to 795 of the family's 1533-position model. Lineage: Bacteria; Pseudomonadati; Pseudomonadota; Gammaproteobacteria; Enterobacterales; Enterobacteriaceae. The record is from RNAcentral.
CCUACGGGGGGCUGCAGUGGGGAAUAUUGCACAAUGGGCGCAAGCCCGAUGCAGCCAUGCCGCGUGUGUGAAGAAGGCCUUCGGGUUGUAAAGCACUUUCAGCGGGGAGGAAGGCGUUAAGGUUAAUAACCUUGGCGAUUGACGUUACCCGCAGAAGAAGCACCGGCUAACUCCGUGCCAGCAGCCGCGGUAAUACGGAGGGUGCAAGCGUUAAUCGGAAUUACUGGGCGUAAAGCGCACGCAGGCGGUCUGUCAAGUCGGAUGUGAAAUCCCCGGGCUCAACCUGGGAACUGCAUUCGAAACUGGCAGGCUAGAGUCUUGUAGAGGGGGGUAGAAUUCCAGGUGUAGCGGUGAAAUGCGUAGAGAUCUGGAGGAAUACCGGUGGCGAAGGCGGCCCCCUGGACAAAGACUGACGCUCAGGUGCGAAAGCGUGGGGAGCAAACAGGAUUAGAUACCCGUGUAGUC